UCUCCUGGCAAGAAGGAUUACUCUCCCUUUUCCGGGGCCAUCUCUCUUCUAUCUCGUAUCGAGUCAUCUCCCCACUUGUGAACCCUGACGUGCCAACCUCUCCCCCAGCUUUUUGGCUUUGUUGUUAUUAUUGCUGUUCUUUGUUUGUUUAAAGAUUUUAUUUUUAAGUAAUCUCUACCCCCAACGUGGGGCUCGAACUCACAACUCUGAGCUAAAGAGUUGCCUGCUCUGCCUCCUGAGCCAGCCAGGCACAAGGUAUUAUUUUCUA
Molecule: long non-coding RNA, 268 nt
Organism: Herpailurus yagouaroundi (jaguarundi)
Lineage: Eukaryota; Metazoa; Chordata; Mammalia; Carnivora; Felidae
Exons: 4
Source: RefSeq, a predicted model, not a curated record